GACCUCAAAUCAGGUAGGACUACCCGCUGAACUUAAGCAUAUCAAUAAGCGGAGGAAAAGAAACUAACAAGGAUUCCCCUAGUAACUGCGAGUGAAGCGGGAAAAGCUCAAAUUUAAAAUCUGGCGGUCUUUGGCCGUCCGAGUUGUAAUCUAGAGAAGUGUUAUCCGCGCUGGACCGUGUACAAGUCUCCUGGAAUGGAGCGUCAUAGAGGGUGAGAAUCCCGUCUUUGACACGGACUGCCAGGGCUUUGUGAUGCGCUCUCAAAGAGUCGAGUUGUUUGGGAAUGCAGCUCAAAAUGGGUGGUAAAUUCCAUCUAAAGCUAAAUAUUGGCGAGAGACCGAUAGCGAACAAGUACCGUGAGGGAAAGAUGAAAAGAACUUUGGAAAGAGAGUUAAACAGUACGUGAAAUUGCUGAAAGGGAAACGCUUGAAGUCAGUUGCGUUGGCCGGGAAUCAACCUUGCUUUUGCUGGGCGUACUUUCCGGUUGACGGGUCAACAUCAAUUUUGACCGUUGGAUAAAGCUGAGGGAAUGUGGCUUCUUCGGGAGUGUUAUAGCCCUUGGUCGCAUACAACGGUUGGGAUUGAGGAACUCAGCACGCCGCAAGGCCGGGUACUUGUACCACGUUCGUGCUUAGGAUGUUGGCAUAAUGGCUUUAAUCGACCCGUCUUGAAACACGGACCAAGGAGUCUAACAUGCCUGCGAGUGUUUGGGUGGAAAACCCGAGCGCGUAAUGAAAGUGAAAGUUGAGAUCCCUGUCGUGGGGAGCAUCGACGCCCGGACCAGAACUUUUGGGACGGAUCCGCGGUAGAGCAUGUAUGUUGGGACCCGAAAGAUGGUGAACUAUGCCUGAAUAGGGUGAAGCCAGAGGAAACUCUGGUGGAGGCUCGUAGCGAUUCUGACGUGCAAAUCGAUCGUCAAAUUUGGGUAUAGGGGCGAAAGACUAAUCGAACCAUCUAGUAGCUGGUUCCU
This 971-nucleotide ribosomal RNA is filed under the name Psilocybe cubensis. Its description in RNAcentral is "LSU rRNA". It matches the Rfam family "Eukaryotic large subunit ribosomal RNA", at positions 1 to 959 of the family's 3401-position model. The record is from RNAcentral. Lineage: Eukaryota; Fungi; Basidiomycota; Agaricomycetes; Agaricales; Agrocybaceae.